Molecule: long non-coding RNA, 355 nt
Filed under: Marmota monax (woodchuck)
Lineage: Eukaryota; Metazoa; Chordata; Mammalia; Rodentia; Sciuridae
Source: RNAcentral
GCCCGGCGGCGCAUGCUCAGUAGUGAGCAGGUUCAGUGUUCUAGUAGGAAGCUCCAGCGCUACACCGGCGUCGGCGGCGGCCGCGGCGGCAGCUCGGGGCAGCCAGAUUCCCCAACAACGACCUCGGGCUCGUCCCCUCCCCCGCUAGACCCCAGCCGCAGCCCCGCCGCGCCGGGAGGGUCUGGCGUUCGGGAGUCUGCUGGGCAGAGCGGGCGCCGCGGUCGGAGCGUCCCUCCACACGCCCUCCCCCAGCCGCCCGCUCCUCGGCGGGCCAGGCCGGGCCCGGGAGCGCGGCCCCGGCAGGCGGGCGGCGUCCGCGGCGGAGGGCAGCCCGGGGCGGCGCCGGCGGGCCGGG